GUCACACCCCCUCAAGCCGCGCCGUGUGUGUGGUUUUGGUGUUGGGGCUCGCCAGUCCGGCGGCCCUUAAAGACAGUGGCGGUGCCGUCGUGGUCUCUACGCGUAGUACGAUUCUCGCGACAGAGCCGCAGCGGCAGCUAGCCAAUCAAUCCUUCUAUUUUUUAAGG
RNAcentral lists this ribosomal RNA (167 nucleotides) under Golovinomyces magnicellulatus. RNAcentral describes it as "internal transcribed spacer 2". Lineage: Eukaryota; Fungi; Ascomycota; Leotiomycetes; Helotiales; Erysiphaceae. The record is from RNAcentral.